Long non-coding RNA from Astyanax mexicanus (Mexican tetra), 423 nucleotides. RefSeq lists it as uncharacterized. Lineage: Eukaryota; Metazoa; Chordata; Actinopteri; Characiformes; Acestrorhamphidae. The record is from RefSeq and is a predicted model, not a curated record. The transcript has 3 exons.
GAGAGGGGGGUAGCGAGACAGGUGAAGAGAGACAGAUGUAGAGAGAGGGGUAGCGAGACAGGUGAAGAGAGACAGAUGUAGAGAGAGGUGAAGAGAGACGUACAGAGGGGUUAUGUGGAGAGAGGGGGUGAAGAGAGACAGACAGAUGCAGAGAGGUAUAGCGAGACAGAUGUAGAGAGAGAGGGGGGUAGCGAGACAGGUGAAGAGAGACAGAUGUAGAGAGAGGGGUAGCGAGACAGGUGAAGAGAGACAGAUGUAGAGAGAGAGGGGGGUAGCGAGACAGGUGAAGAGAGACAGAUGUAGAGAGAGAGAGGGGUAGCGAGACAGGUGAAGAGAGACAGAUGUAGAGAGAGGGGUGAAGAGAGAAAGGAACGGAAAGAAAGAUACAUUGAAAAAGAUUAGUCCUAAAAAAAGAAAAAUCAA